Melopsittacus undulatus (budgerigar) is the source of this 851-nucleotide long non-coding RNA. RefSeq lists it as uncharacterized. The transcript is spliced from 3 exons. The record is from RefSeq and is a predicted model, not a curated record. Lineage: Eukaryota; Metazoa; Chordata; Aves; Psittaciformes; Psittaculidae.
UGGUUGCCUGGGUGGAAAGCUCUGUGGGAAGAGCAGCAGAGUGCUGGGGCAGGAAGAGCAAGUAUUAAGUGUUUCUGUACUGUGCAGAUGAUCGUGUUUCUGAGCUAGCAGAGCAAAGCCAAGAUGAAAUCUGGCCUGAAAUCCGUUCCCUGAGAUAGCCAGACCCUUGUUCUGCCGUAGUGUUGCAUUAAUGCGGCAUUGAGGACAGCUUGUUGUUUUGUUGAUGAGUAACAGAGGGAAGAAAUCUCAGUUGCAUUUGACAGUAAUCUUCAAAGCUGGAGGAUGGAGGAGCCAGAAGGAAGUUCAGUGAAAUCCCCUGGAAGUCCAUGCUCAUGGCUGCUGUGGUAUCCUACAAGGAGUUAGACUGCCAAAGGCCUGCAUGGCUCUCUACAAUGAUUCUGGGAACCAAAAGGUGCUCCUCUGCAUGUCACAUUUGCUCUGGUUUACCUUAACACAGCAAGAGGCCUCUUGGGUUCUCCCAGGUAUGGUCAGGAAGUCAUUUUUCUGAUCUCUUCUGAUAAGGAACAUGAUUAUCAGGUUAUCUUUAAUGAAGGAAUCACUGCUAUCAGGCAGCUUCAAGCCCCAAGGAAUUAACAUGGAGAAAGAGUCUGAAGUUUUCUGGCUUCUUGGAAAAAUACCUGUAUUUUUAAGAGUGAGUAUUUCUAAGACUCUAUGGUACUGCUGUGCCACUGCCAGCUUUGCAGUUUCAUAGCCCUUGCAUCACAAAAGUGGCCCAAAUACCAUGGGUUUUAUGGGUUUGCUUAGAAGAGCACAUGGUAACAUUUGAUCUGCCUACCAGUUCCUUGCUUUUACCAUCCCCUGUGCCCGCCUACUCCCAGCCAGCAUGGCAC